RNAcentral lists this ribosomal RNA (1372 nucleotides) under uncultured bacterium. RNAcentral describes it as "bacterial SSU rRNA". It matches the Rfam family "Bacterial small subunit ribosomal RNA", at positions 28 to 1381 of the family's 1533-position model. The record is from RNAcentral.
GAUGAACGCUGGCGGCGUGCCUAAUACAUGCAAGUCGAGCGAACAGAUAAGGAGCUUGCUCCUUUGACGUUAGCGGCGGACGGGUGAGUAGCACGUGGGUAACCUACCUAUAAGACUGGGAUAACUUCGGGAAACCGGAGCUAAUACCGGAUAAUAUUUCGAACCGCAUGGUUCGAUAGUGAAAGAUGGUUUUGCUAUCACUUAUAGAUGGACCCGCGCCGUAUUAGCUAGUUGGUAAGGUAACGGCUUACCAAGGCGACGAUACGUAGCCGACCUGAGAGGGUGAUCGGCCACACUGGAACUGAGACACGGUCCAGACUCCUACGGGAGGCAGCAGUAGGGAAUCUUCCGCAAUGGGCGAAAGCCUGACGGAGCAACGCCGCGUGAGUGAUGAAGGUCUUUGGAUCGUAAAACUCUGUUAUUAGGGAAGAACAUACGUGUAAGUAACUAUGCACGUCUUGACGGUACCUAAUCAGAAAGCCACGGCUAACUACGUGCCAGCAGCCGCGGUAAUACGUAGGUGGCAAGCGUUAUCCGGAAUUAUUGGGCGUAAAGCGCGCGUAGGCGGUUUUUUAAGUCUGAUGUGAAAGCCCACGGCUCAACCGUGGAGGGUCAUUGGAAACUGGAAAACUUGAGUGCAGAAGAGGAAAGUGGAAUUCCAUGUGUAGCGGUGAAAUGCGCAGAGAUAUGGAGGAACACCAGUGGCGAAGGCGACUUUCUGGUCUGUAACUGACGCUGAUGUGCGAAAGCGUGGGGAUCAAACAGGAUUAGAUACCCUGGUAGUCCACGCCGUAAACGAUGAGUGCUAAGUGUUAGGGGGUUUCCGCCCCUUAGUGCUGCAGCUAACGCAUUAAGCACUCCGCCUGGGGAGUACGACCGCAAGGUUGAAACUCAAAGGAAUUGACGGGGACCCGCACAAGCGGUGGAGCAUGUGGUUUAAUUCGAGGCAACGCGAAGAACCUUACCAAAUCUUGACAUCCUUUGACAACUCUAGAGAUAGAGCCUUCCCCUUCGUGGGACAAAGUGACAGGUGGUGCAUGGUUGUCGUCAGCUCGUGUCGUGAGAUGUUGGGUUAAGUCCCGCAACGAGCGCAACCCUUAAGCUUAGUUGCCAUCAUUAAGUUGGGCACUCUAAGUUGACUGCCGGUGACAAACCGGAGGAAGGUGGGGAUGACGUCAAAUCAUCAUGCCCCUUAUGAUUUGGGCUACACACGUGCUACAAUGGACAAUACAAAGGGCAGCGAAACCGCGAGGUCAAGCAAAUCCCAUAAAGUUGUUCUCAGUUCGGAUUGUAGUCUGCAACUCGACUACAUGAAGCUGGAAUCGCUAGUAAUCGUAGAUCAGCAUGCUACGGUGAAUACGUUCCCGGGUCU